GUAGAUAGCCAUACCACCCUGAACCUUCCUGAUCUCUAGAAACUAAGCAGGGUUGGACCUGUUUAGUACUUGGAUAGGAGGUCUCCUGGGAAUAUUGGGUGCUGUUGGCU
RNAcentral lists this ribosomal RNA (110 nucleotides) under Sarcophilus harrisii (Tasmanian devil). Lineage: Eukaryota; Metazoa; Chordata; Mammalia; Dasyuromorphia; Dasyuridae. The record is from RNAcentral.